AAAAAAGCCUCAGAUCUAACUCAACAUGCUUCAAGAGAGUCUCAUCCUUUUCAAAACAUGUUCGAUCGAUCCCUAAUCUCAGAACUCGUGUCGGUAAGGUAAAGAACCACGAGUGAGUUUUUUUGGGGACAAAUUUUUGAGAGAAACGCAUAGAAACUGACAGAAGAGAGUGAGCACACAAAGGCACUUUGCAUGUUCGAUGCUUUUGCUUCUCUUGCGUGCUCACUGCUCUAUCUGUCAGAUUCCGGCGCCGAUUCAUUUCGGUCCGUUCACGUUUUCUUCUUCUAAAUUGUGUUCCCAUCUCUCUCUCUCUCUCUUGUGUUCUUCAUCUCUCCAAAGGUAUGUGUAGAUACGAUCUUGAUAUGAUAGCUAUAUAUGAUGCAACUUGUUCUUAUUUUGCCAUUGAUUUGGUUUCCAAUUGCAUGCGACUUUGCUUUUUUUGUCGAGCUUUAUAUUUUAUGGGAUCAUUAGUAUCGAAAGCUUAAUCUAUGAGUUUAAGGCGUGGUUAAGUGAGAUUAACAUGGGACCAUUAACGUUAACCUAGUUUUUCCUUAGGCUGGUCCUAACUCUUUCAAAUCCUCAACAUGUCCUCGAUCAAAGUAAAUAUUAUAUGGUUUAUAAUUUAAUUUCCUUUCUCUUUCUCUCGUUUCUCAUUAGCACUUUUAAUCCGUGCUUCUUUGGACUCUUGAUUCAUAUAUAUAUGUGUAGAGAUAUAUUAUUUGCUUCAUAUGAUCAUAUCUGUGUAUAGCCAUGGAUCUUGAGAGAGUACUGUUCAUGAUCUUCGAGUUGCUUUUAAUUAAUUAGUCGUUUGUUGUACAGAUUAUUUAUGUAUAUUGUAUGCUGAUAUAUGUUAAUUUUUAUUCCAUUUAUAUAAUUAUGUUUCUAAUUUAGGCUAUUAUACAUAGCAUAAUUUGUAUUAUACUACAUGUAAAUGGUAUAUAAUUUAUAUAUCAUUGAUUCCAUGUGAUCACGUUGUGAAUCUUGCAAGAAUAUUCUUGUGGGUCUGUUUCUCUUCAUUUUUGAACAUGUUCUUUCUCGAGUAUUUUUCCACAGUUUUUUUUAUAUUAAUUUUGAAUUUGAUAAGUAAUUUUGAAUCUAGGAAAGCGAUUUGUAGAUCUGUUUGCUAAGUAGGAAUUUACAGUGUUUCUAGUGGUUAAUAUUCGUUUUAUCACUAGUUUGCAAAGAUGAUUAAUAUGUGAUUUUUACCUCACUUAAAUGGAUUCGAGUUGUUUUUUUUUUUUUUUUUGUGUUUUGACACUCAAAGUUUCAUUUUAAAUGCAUUCAUAUAUAUGUAUUUAUGGCAGCUGAUAAAAUUUUGACAAUUCGUUAAAACAUCUAACGUUCUUUGUUUCUCUUGUAUUGGUAAAUGCAUAAAUUGUGUUGUUUUUGCUUUUGUCAUGUUUUCUCAUUUCUUCCCAUGUUUUCCAGUGUUUUCAAACCAAAGAAGCCAUAUGACACGUAAUUUUAGGAAUGUUCUUGCUAUAAUUGGUUUUCAAUUUCUUCAGGAAGGUUAGACUUUCUCGAUACUUGUGAAAGGUGCAUGUCAACAUUAACUCUUUAUUGGGAAACCUCAAGAGGCAUGAAAAAGGUUGAGGUUGCAAAUUGCCUUCUAGCAUCAGAAUUAACUAUGUAAAUGGAAUAUGGUUUGCAAAUUAUGUAUGUAUUGGAUUACAUAAAUGUUAGAAGAUGUCACUAAGACUUUGUUUUCUUUUGCAGAUUAUAUUUAUAUGGAAAGUAAGAAUCAUAUGUGGUGCAGUUUUGUUCAGAUAAAAAGAGAAAUCGGAGGAAGAUCGAAUUAAUAAAAACGUGUCAUCAAUGGUUCUUGCAAAGAACAAGGAAUAUCGGUUUGGAUGAUGUUGGACAUAUGUUUGACGCAGCCCGAUUUGAAUGAUCACGCAAAGUUAUUGAGAUCAAUGCAGAGUUGACCCGAAUUGAAUAAACCUGUUUGUAAUUCUUUUUGUGCUUUGAUUUAUCAGUUAAAUGUCGAAUGUAUCACAUAUACAGUAUGUAGUUGAUCUGGUUUAGAGUCAGGGAUUAGAGAGUGUUUGACUAAUUAUAUGGUAAGUAGGAUAUGAUUGGGAUUA
Long non-coding RNA from Capsella rubella, 2084 nucleotides. RefSeq lists it as uncharacterized. Lineage: Eukaryota; Viridiplantae; Streptophyta; Magnoliopsida; Brassicales; Brassicaceae. The record is from RefSeq and is a predicted model, not a curated record. The transcript has 2 exons.